RNAcentral lists this long non-coding RNA (344 nucleotides) under Phoenix dactylifera (date palm). RNAcentral's name for it is "long non-coding RNA (PDAC_LNC005109)". The record is from RNAcentral. Lineage: Eukaryota; Viridiplantae; Streptophyta; Magnoliopsida; Arecales; Arecaceae.
UCCUCUCUCUCUCUCUCUCUCUCUCUCUCUCUCUCUCUCUCUCUCCCCCUCCCGUCUUUAAUUUGCUUCUACUUCUUGCUUUCUUGAAUACUUCUCUCCCUCACCCCUAUUUAUUCUCGGUGUAAGAAGAGGAAGGAAGGGGGAGUUCAAGAAAGCGUGGACCGUAAGGACUAUUAUACCAUCCGGACAGAGACGAUAGCAUCGAACGCGAACAAGAAUUCGCCUCCGCCGCCGCCUCCACCUCCGGCGAUUACACCAAACGCUGCCGCGGCUUCCCACUUCUUUACGUUCUCCGACUCCAUUUCCUAUUUUUAUGUCCUUCGGGAAAGCAAUCGACGGUUUUU